AGUGAACGCUGGCGGCGUGCUUAACACAUGCAAGUCGAACGAGAACGGAUUAUAGCUUGCUAUAAUUGUCAGCUAAGUGGCGCACGGGUGAGUAAUGUAUAGAUAACCUGCCCUCUAGAAAGGAAUAACAGUUGGAAACGACUGCUAAUGCCCUAUAUGCCUUUAAUACAUAAGUAUGCAAGGGAAACGCUUUAGUGCUUGAGGAUGGGUCUGUAUGGUAUCAGUUAGUUGGUGGGGUAAUGGCCUACCAAGACAAUGACGCCUAACUGGUUUGAGAGGAUGAUCAGUCACACUGGAACUGAGACACGGUCCAGACUCCUACGGGAGGCAGCAGUGGGGAAUCUUAGACAAUGGGGGAAACCCUGAUCUAGCCAUGCCGCGUGAUCGAUGAAGGCCUUAGGGUUGUAAAGAUCUUUCAGAUGGGAAGAUAAUGACGGUACCAUCAGAAGAAGCCCCGGCUAACUCCGU
RNAcentral lists this ribosomal RNA (468 nucleotides) under uncultured bacterium. RNAcentral describes it as "bacterial SSU rRNA". It matches the Rfam family "Bacterial small subunit ribosomal RNA", at positions 29 to 506 of the family's 1533-position model. The record is from RNAcentral.